CACAUUCCAAGAGGGUGCCGGGAUCAAAUGGAAAAAUUAGCCAACGGCCUAAGACGAGGCUAUCCCUUCCUUCCCCUAGAAUGUCACUCCCACAUUCACACACAAAAACAUUUUUAUACACAUAGUCUCUAUGAACAAAACUAAUUGCAAUGCUUUUACCACACAAGAUGUUCAAAGAGUCAUGUGCAUUAUCAAGAUCAAUUCUACAGACAUCAUAACUAACUUGAGAAUUUUUAAGCACACUAUUCACAUGCUCAAGUAGUGAACUACAUUUAAGAGUAAAUUGAUCAUCAUGUACACCAAGAGUACU
RNAcentral lists this long non-coding RNA (310 nucleotides) under Capsicum annuum. Its description in RNAcentral is "long non-coding RNA (CANN_LNC000265)". Lineage: Eukaryota; Viridiplantae; Streptophyta; Magnoliopsida; Solanales; Solanaceae. The record is from RNAcentral.